AUGCGGAUGAUCGCGCCGGUUUAGCCGGUGAGGAAAGUCCGGGCUGCACAGGGCAGAGUGCCGGAUAACGUCCGGUGGAGGCGACUCCAAGGAAAGUGCAACAGAAAAGAAACCGCCGCCCUCGGGCGGUAAGGGUGGAAUGGCAGUGUAAGAGACUACCGCUUCGCUGGUAACAGAGAAGGCUGUGUAAACCCCACUUCGCAGCAAGACCGAACAGGAAACGAUACGGCGGCCCGUCGUGUUUCCGGGUGGGUUGCGUUCCGUAGCCGGAAGGGUACGGAGGAGUCAUGUGGUAACAUAUGACCAAGACAGAUGAUCAUCCUCGACAGAACCCGGCUUACAGCAUCACUCG
This 352-nucleotide RNase P RNA is filed under the name bovine gut metagenome. RNAcentral describes it as "Bacterial RNase P class A". It matches the Rfam family "Bacterial RNase P class A". Rfam says of the family: Ribonuclease P (RNase P) is a ubiquitous endoribonuclease, found in archaea, bacteria and eukarya as well as chloroplasts and mitochondria. Its best characterised activity is the generation of mature 5'-ends of tRNAs by cleaving the 5'-leader elements of precursor-tRNAs. The record is from RNAcentral. RNAcentral also lists the same sequence under 1 other name.